CACAGAGUUAGCCGGUGCUUCUUCUACCGGUACCGUCAUCAUCUUCCCGGGCGAAGGGAGUUUACAUCCCAAGGGAAUUCAUCCUCCACGCGGCGUUGCUGCGUCAGGGUUUCCCCCAUUGCGCAGGAUUCCCCA
This 135-nucleotide ribosomal RNA is filed under the name uncultured bacterium. Its description in RNAcentral is "partial 16S ribosomal RNA". The record is from RNAcentral.